Molecule: non-coding RNA, 1464 nt
Organism: Macaca mulatta (Rhesus monkey)
Lineage: Eukaryota; Metazoa; Chordata; Mammalia; Primates; Cercopithecidae
Source: RefSeq, a predicted model, not a curated record
AAAGAGGAAGCAGUGCCAGCCCAGGACUACUUUGCUAAUAGUGCACGUGACUUUUCUUACUUCCAGAAGGCCUUCUACUCCACCUUAUCUUCUUACAAACUUCUAGGCCUCCUUCAAGCCUCAGCUGACACAGGGCCUCCUCCAUGCAGCCUUCCCUGACUCCUCGAUGGCGAUGCAGAAGCAUCUACAAACCUGGAAGGAGUGUUGAGGGGAUCCAGCGAGACUGUGUGCAGGAAGACCUUAGCUCCGAGCUGGCCAGAGGAGAACCCCUUACAAGUGGUAGCUGGUGGUGUCCCCACUCUGCCUGUCUUUCCUGAGCUCCUCUGUGGGACUGGCAGGCUGCAGGCCUGGAUGCCCUCAGGAGCACAGAGGAUGCUGACUGGUGGAGAAACGAAGACCCCGAGACUCUGACCCAGAAUGACUCCGGACACCAGACCCAAAAUGUGAAGGAGCCUUAGGAACACCUCAGCCAAUUCACUUGACUGAUCCUCUCCUUUUAAAAGUUGUCAUAGAGCAGCAGAGGAUAAAAAUCUACAUUUGAAUAAGUCUAACAGAGUUCUCUCAAUAAGUAUUAAAAGCUCUAAGCGAGAAGAAUCACAUUGUCAGGAAUUCAUUGAAUGUUUUUGUUUGUUUGUUUGUUUUCUCCCUCAGUGGUAUGUAAAAUACCGUUUCUUGCAACUGACAAUCUUUCAGAGACUAAGAAACCCAAGAAAAUGUUGGCAAGAACGUAGUACUCAUAAUGACCAGGGCUUGAGCAUUUAUGCUGUGAGCAGACCCUGGGCUCGGUGCUUCUCCAUCUCUUCCCAGUAACCUUUAUGUAGCUGUUACUGUCUUCACCGUACAAGUGAAGAAAUUGAGGCAUGAAAAGGAAGCUAACUUGUUGAAAGUAGUAACUCGUAUAUGUUAACAUUGCAUUUUUUUCCAUUUCCAUUUUUAUUCUGAAACUAUUUCAAAAUACAGAGUGUUAAAGGAACGGUACAAAGAACUCUCACAUACCCUUUGUGUGGAAACCCCCUUUGAGUUUCACUAAGUGUCUCAAUAAAUGUAUUUUCUAGCAAAGGAUCCAUCUGGGACCGUGCAUGGCUCUUAGUUACCGUGUCUUUCGGGUCUCCAGUUUGAAACAGAUGCCUUGUUUUUUCCUUGACAUCUCGAAGACUGCAGGCUAGUUGUUUUGAAUAAUGUCCCUCAAUUUGGCUCUGUCUGAUGAUUAGACCGAGGUUAUGCUUUUUUGGCCAAAAUAACAUAGAAGUGAUGCUGGAUUAUUCUUGAUGAGUCCUAUCAGCUUUCAUUGUCAAUCUGUACCAUCACUCAUGUUGUUCACUCUGAUCAUUUGAUUAACUUGACCUCAGUCAAGUUUCUCUAUUGUAAAGUUACUUCCCCUUCCACAUCGUAAUUUAUAAGCAUUUGGUAGGGAGAUACUUUUAAGCUUUCUCAUCCCACUCCCACACCUGUAUAAUUUCAAUA